GCCCUGGUGACUGACCGUCGGCCUCUGUCCAGCAGAUCAGGAGGUAGUGACCGAGUGCUCCCCGACCAGAGACCGGCAGUGCCAGUGCAAGCGGGGCCACUUCUUCUGCGACUCCAUGGACUGCGAGGAGAACUGCUUCCGGUGUCAGAGGUGUGAGCACAGCGCCGUCCUUCGACCCUGCAAUGCCACCAGGGACGCGGUUUGUGCCGACAGACCUCACCCACAGCCGGGAGACGGGAGCACGUUGUUCAUCGUUCUGGGGGCCCUGGCCCUGCUCAUCCCCGGCCCCGUCGUGUUCUGCUGUAGAAGACGCAGUAAGUCAGAGUCAGAUGGAUCCUGGAGAAAACCCGAGCGGAAAGAGCGUCGGAAACGGGGUCCGGGCUUCGUGACCAGGCGCUUGGGGUCUGAACGCAGUUCUGGGGCCUCCUCGUCCGGGGGCCCCUCUCGGGUCUGAGCUCAGAGCCGCCGGCCCCGCGCGCCCCGACGUGCGGGGCUUAAGAGCAGAGGCUCAGGUCCGCUGGCGGGAGCCGGGGUGUCCGGGGCGCCCUGGGCCGGGAAGCAGGGACGGACAGGUGCUGCUCCAGCCAAGGGGC
This 593-nucleotide long non-coding RNA is filed under the name Sus scrofa (pig). Its description in RNAcentral is "lncRNA (ENSSSCG00060051912.1)". Lineage: Eukaryota; Metazoa; Chordata; Mammalia; Artiodactyla; Suidae. The record is from RNAcentral.